RNAcentral lists this ribosomal RNA (497 nucleotides) under uncultured bacterium. RNAcentral describes it as "bacterial SSU rRNA". It matches the Rfam family "Bacterial small subunit ribosomal RNA", at positions 23 to 518 of the family's 1533-position model. The record is from RNAcentral.
CUCAGGAUGAACGCUAGCGACAGGCCUAGCACAUGCAAGUCGAGGGGUAUUGGGUCUUCGGACCCGAGAGACCGGCGCACGGGUGCGUAACGCGUAUGUAACCUGCCUUACACCGGGGGAUAGCCUUCCGAAAGGGAGAUUAAUACCGCAUAAUAUUAUAUAGCCACCUGGUUGUAUAAUUAAACUUCGGUGGUGUAAGAUGGACAUGCGUAUGAUUAGCUAGUUGGCGGGUAACGGCCCACCAAGGCGACGAUCAUUAGGGGUUCUGAGAGGAAGGUCCCCCACACUGGUACUGAGACACGGACCAGACUCCUACGGGAGGCAGCAGUGAGGAAUAUUGGUCAAUGGACGGAAGUCUGAACCAGCCAUGUCGCGUGCAGGAUGACUGCCCUAGUGGGUUGUAAACUGUCUUUUGUAUGGGAAGAAAGGUGGGGUACGUGUACCUCUUUGCCGGUACCAUACGAAUAAGGAUCGGCUAACUCCGUGCCAGCAGCUGC